CGUCCUGCCAUCCCAACCCUUUCCCUCUGAAACCUCCCAGUCCCACGCCGCAUCUUCUCUUCUCCCAAGUCCCAACAACUUCUUCGCCGCCGCCGCCAUGCGCCAACCCCGCUGUCGCCCGUUGAUCCGGCUGCGCACCUCACCCUCGUCGCUCUCCCUGGCCCAGCAACAUCACCCACUCCCUGCUCUUCCUCCCGACGCGGAAGUGUCCUUUCGAGUCUCGUCUCCGUCUUCGUGGUCCUCAGAUCUGGCAGCCUCCGACCACAACGCUGCCGGAUCUAACCAACCAAUAGGUGCUCGACGCCGCUCCUCAGGACCGCGUCGGUCUUCUUUGUCUGCUCUCUCUCUCCCUCAACCUCCCACGGCAUGUAUUGGCCCCUUCUGAAACUCCUCAUCCGAGUGGCCACCUGAUGCCGCCGUGUAGAACACGCUCACUCCUGCCUUGGCCCGCCUGUACCAGGUCCGGUCGCCUCUUCCUUUACGCAAUUCCUCGAGCAGGUCAUAUAUGUGGCGUAUGUGUGUUGUUUAAUGGAUGGUGAGCUUAUUUUCUGGUGGUUGGGGUCCAGGAUUUGCUCCUGUGGUUCAAGUUGAAUACCGGGGAGAUGGAGAUGGUGACAUGGCUGGCUUCUGUGGUGGUGAGGUUCAAGUUCUACAACGAGGUGGCCGUUGGGCCUAUCUGAAGAGCAACAAUGUAACGCUUUUGAGCUUAGGUACAAGAAGUCGUAUUUGAAAGGGGACGAGAUGAUGUUCAUCAAAAUGAAACUGACACAUUUAGUUAUGCGCCAAUUUAUUUCUAGACAACAUGAGCAUGGAGAAACAUAUAUGUGAAAGGUUGGUCUAUCUGAAGAGCAACAAUGUAACGCUUUUGAGCCAGCGUACAAUGGCUUUCAAGGCGCAUGCUACAGAUAACUUGCUUCGAGUCCUGCUCUUUUUAUUUGAGGAGUGGGAAACAAUACCGGAGGAAUCCUGAUCUAUGGCAAGGGUGAUGAUGUCUAUGGCGAUGAUUGUCAUGAUCUAUAUGGCAAUGGACGUUAUGAUCCAUAUGGUGAUGAAGAUGAGUCUGAUCUUUCUUCAGGAUAUGCAACAAAGUGAACUUAAUGCCUGGACCAUUAUAUCUUAGUUACUAUUUUUGUUUAGCAUUUCAAACUUCCUAGAUAGAUCAUUAUGAUCGAUGUAAUUUGGAUCCGCUAAAUAUACUAUAUGUUACUUGGUCA
This is a long non-coding RNA of Aegilops tauschii subsp. strangulata, 1214 nucleotides long. RefSeq lists it as uncharacterized. The record is from RefSeq and is a predicted model, not a curated record. NCBI's taxonomy places the organism in Eukaryota, Viridiplantae, Streptophyta, Magnoliopsida, Poales, Poaceae.